This 499-nucleotide ribosomal RNA is filed under the name uncultured bacterium. Its description in RNAcentral is "bacterial SSU rRNA". It matches the Rfam family "Bacterial small subunit ribosomal RNA", at positions 28 to 530 of the family's 1533-position model. The record is from RNAcentral.
GAUGAACGCUGGCGGCGUGCCUCAAACAUGCAAGUCGAGCGAGGCUAUGAAUUACCGCAAGGUAAGGCAUAGCCUAGCGGCGAACGGGUGAGUAACACGUGGGUAACCUACCUGGAAGACAGGGAUAACGAUUCGAAAGGGUCGCUAAUACCUGAUAAUAUCCAUCUGCCGGAUGGCGGAGGGAAGAAAGGGGAAACCCGCUUUCAGAUGGGCCCGCGUCCCAUCAGCUAGUUGGUAAGGUAAAGGCUUACCAAGGCGACGACGGGUAGCCGGUCUGAGAGGAUGUACGGCCACACUGGGACUGAGAUACGGCCCAGACUCCUACGGGAGGCAGCAGUUGGGAAUCUUAGGCAAUGGACGAAAGUCUGACCUAGCGACGCCGCGUGAGGGAAGAAGGCCUUCGGGUUGUAAACCUCUGUCAUGGGGGAAAAGGAAGUGACGGUACCCCAAGAGGAAGCCCCUGCUAACUACGUGCCAGCAGCCGCGUAAGGUCACGUCG